This 92-nucleotide transfer RNA is filed under the name Merismopedia sp. SIO2A8. RNAcentral's name for it is "tRNA-Ala". The stretch from base 1 to 66 matches the Rfam family "tRNA". Rfam says of the family: Transfer RNA (tRNA) molecules are approximately 80 nucleotides in length. Their secondary structure includes four short double-helical elements and three loops (D, anti-codon, and T loops). The record is from RNAcentral. Lineage: Bacteria; Bacillati; Cyanobacteriota; Cyanophyceae; Synechococcales; Merismopediaceae.
UGUAGCUUAACUGGCAAAGCGUCUGUCUUGCAAACAGAAAGAUGUCGGUAUUCCCUAUCGGGAACACUUACGAGAACGAUUCCGAUCAGUAU